UACACUGUCUUAGGACCUCCAAUAUUGC
Molecule: non-coding RNA, 28 nt
Filed under: Rattus norvegicus (Norway rat)
Lineage: Eukaryota; Metazoa; Chordata; Mammalia; Rodentia; Muridae
Source: RNAcentral